Molecule: long non-coding RNA, 776 nt
Filed under: Medicago truncatula (barrel medic)
Lineage: Eukaryota; Viridiplantae; Streptophyta; Magnoliopsida; Fabales; Fabaceae
Description: long non-coding RNA (MTRU_LNC002053)
Source: RNAcentral
AUAUAUUAAAACCAAAAGAAGUAACAAAAGAGGUAAGGAAUUGGGCCAAAACUACCUCAACCAAAAGCAAACCUAAAGUUUGGUUGCCAAGCUUUUCUCUAGAGUACAAAUCAGUGAGCUGAGAAGGUAAACUAUGUCAAACCAUUGAUGAAUUGUCAACUAUACAACAUAAUGUUUUCUAACAUGUCAAUAAAUAAACUGUGAUUUAUAUUAUAAAAAAAAUGUUGUUUGUCAACUAAUUUUUUAUUACGAGUGCUCAUGUUUAAUACCUGGACACCUUGAUUAAAUCAAAAUUGUUUUUUCUAAAAUACCCUUUUAAUUCAUUUUCCACUUAUAUUAUUGACUCAACAAAAAAAUUCAUAUAAAGUGUCAUGGAGUUUAAUUUUCUUCAUCGUUUCUCAGUUUUCAUAAACUCUUAGUCAAGUUUCAAUCUUUUUAUCUAUUUCUAUUACAGAUUCCUUUUCCCUUGUUCUUUGAUCAGAGGUUGAGUGAACGUGAACUCAAGAAGGGUAUGAUUUUUUUUUUCUUUCUUUUCACCUUUCUCUGUUUUGGUAUUGUUGUUAUAGUGAAGUUUUUUUUAUCAACAAUCACUAGUUUAAAAUUUAAAUUUUGCAGAGUUUAUUUGUGUAAUUGGUAUUUUGUCCUUGAAGUUAUUUGUUUUCUUGGAGUGUUUUUAUUAAUUUUUAAAGUGAGGAAUUUUGACCGUGUAUCUUUUAGGGGUUGCAAAAUGGAAAAUUCAAAAAAGCAAAAUGGAAAUUGGGGUGUAAACAGAAAAG